GAUGAACGCUGGCGGCGUGCCUAAUACAUGCAAGUCGAGCGAACGGACGAGAAGCUUGCUUCUCUGAUGUUAGCGGCGGACGGGUGAGUAACACGUGGAUAACCUACCUAUAAGACUGGGAUAACUUCGGGAAACCGUAGCUAAUACCGGAUAAUAUUUUGAACCGCAUGGUUCAAAAGUGAAAGACGGUCUUGCUGUCACUUAUAGAUGGAUCCGGGCUGCAUUAGAUAGUUGGUAAGGUAACGGCUUACCAAGGCAACUAUGCAUAGCCGACCUGAGAGGGGGAUCGGCCACCCGGGAACGGAGACGCGGUCCAGGCGACUGCGGGAGGCAGCAGUAGGGAACCUGCGGCAAUGGGCGAGAGCAUGGCGGAGCAAGGGCGCGUGAGUGAUGAAGGUCUUCCGAUCGUAAAACUCUGUUAUUAGGGAAGAACAUAUGUGUAAGUAACUGUAGACAGCUUGACGGUACCUAAUCAGAAAGCCACGGCUAACUACGUG
This 497-nucleotide ribosomal RNA is filed under the name uncultured bacterium. RNAcentral describes it as "partial 16S ribosomal RNA". It matches the Rfam family "Bacterial small subunit ribosomal RNA", at positions 28 to 507 of the family's 1533-position model. The record is from RNAcentral.